UACCAGCACCCCGAGUGGUCGGGACGUUUAUUGGGCCUAAAGCACCCGUAGCCGGUUCUACAAGUCUUCCGUUAAAUCCAGCUGCUUAACAGAUGGGCUGCGGAAGAUACUAUGGAGCUAGGAGGCGGGAGAGGCAAGCGGUACUCGAUGGGUAGGGGUAAAAUCCGUUGAUCCAUUGAAGACCACCAGUGGCGAAGGCGGCUUGCCAGAACGCGCUCGACGGUGAGGGAUGAAAGCUGGGGGAGCAAACCGG
Molecule: ribosomal RNA, 253 nt
Filed under: uncultured bacterium
Lineage: Bacteria
Description: partial 16S ribosomal RNA
Rfam family: Archaeal small subunit ribosomal RNA
Source: RNAcentral